RNAcentral lists this ribosomal RNA (434 nucleotides) under uncultured bacterium. RNAcentral describes it as "bacterial SSU rRNA". It matches the Rfam family "Bacterial small subunit ribosomal RNA", at positions 954 to 1392 of the family's 1533-position model. The record is from RNAcentral.
GCAUAACGCGAAGAACCUUACCCACCUUUGACAUGUACGGAAUCCUUUAGAGAUAGAGGAGUGCUCGAAAGAGAGCCGUAACACAGGUGCUGCAUGGCUGUCGUCAGCUCGUGUCGUGAGAUGUUGGGUUAAGUCCCGCAACGAGCGCAACCCUUGCCAUUAGUUGCUACGAAAGGGCACUCUAAUGGGACUGCCGGUGACAAACCGGAGGAAGGUGGGGAUGACGUCAAGUCCUCAUGGCCCUUAUAGGUGGGGCUACACACGUCAUACAAUGGCUGGUACAAAGGGUUGCCAACCCGCGAGGGGGAGCUAAUCCCAUAAAGCCAGUCGUAGUCCGGAUCGCAGUCUGCAACUCGACUGCGUGAAGUCGGAAUCGCUAGUAAUCGUGGAUCAGAAUGUCAUGGUGAAUACGUUCCCGGGUCUUGUACACACCG